GUAGGGCGCGAGCGUUGUCCGGAUUUAUUGGGCGUAAAGAGCUCGUAGGCGGUCCAUUGCGUCUGCCGUGAAAACCUGCAGCUUAACUGUGGGCUUGCGGUUGAUACGGGUGGGCUGGAGUUCGGUAGGGGAGACUGGAAUUCCUGGUGUAGCGGUGAAAUGCGCAGAUAUCAGGAGGAACACCGGUGGCGAAGGCGGGUCUCUGGGCCGAUACUGACGCUGAGGAGCGAAAGCGUGGGGAGCGAACAGGAUUAGAUACCCUGGUAGUCCACGCUGUAAACGUUGGGCGCUAGGUGUGGGGGGCCUCUCCGGUUUCCUGCGCCGUAGCUAACGCAUUAAGCGCCCCGCCUGGGGAGUACGGCCGCAAGGCUAAA
Molecule: ribosomal RNA, 374 nt
Filed under: uncultured bacterium
Lineage: Bacteria
Description: bacterial SSU rRNA
Rfam family: Bacterial small subunit ribosomal RNA
Source: RNAcentral